Chiloscyllium plagiosum (whitespotted bambooshark) is the source of this 1335-nucleotide non-coding RNA. Lineage: Eukaryota; Metazoa; Chordata; Chondrichthyes; Orectolobiformes; Hemiscylliidae. The record is from RefSeq and is a predicted model, not a curated record.
AUCAGAAUCAUGUCUCAGUUAAACACGGGCUGUUCUACUUACAGGGUAACACCUGAAACUAAUAAUAAAGCCGCAUGACUCUAUCAAACCCCUCUUGCCGUGCACCGAUUACUAAUACUGUCCGGGUCACUCUCUUUAUUGAAGACGAAUCACAAUUCAUUGUAGACAAGGGUCCUCCAGCGACGAUUCAAACAUCUCAAGGAACUUAAAAUCUUCCAGCUUUCAAGAUUUCUGCUGAAAUGAACUAUUUUUGGUUAAAUCAGAGGGAUGGCCGCAUUUGAAGUUGAGGCACAGCUAGUGAAAAUAUGAACUAUUCCCCCCUCAUUCUAAUUUCUGCUCCCUGAGUUCUAAUACCCGCUGUACUGUCUAAUAUUGGAAGUGAUCCGAGAGAAACCCCAUUCCCUUGGAGUUCAACACGGUUGCUGCAGAUUUAGAAUGGAGACCGUUCCGGACAAGUUGCAGGAUCAGCUAUGAAAACCAGAGAGGCCAACGAAGUCUUGGAGGAUGUAGGAGGCAGCGGUGUCAAAAGGCUUGGUGUUACCUGGCUUGCUGAGAAUUUCUCAAGCUUGCAGCUCAAACUGCUUCACUUGCUUUGUCACUCUGCUAUUAAGUCGUGCCACCAAAACAAAAACAUCUUCAGUCUGAGCUGUUUUAUCCACUGGCAGUGUGGCUCUGAUGGACUAUCGAAGCUCCCUAACCCCUUUUACUAUACUAGAUUGACACUUUUACAUUAAGAGCAGACAAUCUCCUGUAAAUUAUGAGCUUAUCUCCGAUCCUUUUGAUCAUCAACCAGAAAUCAGCUACAUUGCAGAUGGACUCUUCUCCCACUUUCACACUGGGCUGCACACGUCUGGGCCAAAUCUUCAUCCGUGGAGACUCUGUGAUGACAACUAAUUCCUUGCAGAAAAAUGUGGUGCAACUUUCCUGACAUCCAGAAGACCUUCAGAACAUAAGGAAUAGGAGCAGAAGUGGGCCAUUCAGUCCAUCAAAGUCUGCUCUGCCAUUCAAUGAGAUCAUGGCUGAUCUGAUGAUCCUCAAAAUGCACUUUUCUGCCUUGUCCCCACAACCCUUGAAUGCUGUUACUGAUUAAAAAAGCUGUCUCUCUCAGCUUUGAGUAUACAUAAUGACUUGCCUCGAUAGCUCUCUGUGGUAAACAAUUCCACAGAUUCACCACUCUCUCAGAGAAGAAAAUUCCUCCUCAUCUGUAUUUUAAGCAUGCAACCUCUCAUUCUGAUGUCCCUGUCCUCAUCCAAAAUAUUGGGCACUGCCACCUGAGUUUAGUACCCAAUGGGAACUUAUUUACCUUCUGCCAGCUUUGUUGUGCUGUACAUGUAC